CUCGCCUUUCUCUGUGGCUCCCCUCCCCCAGCAACCGCACACUCGCACACACACAAACAGAGAGAGAAGGGGGGAGGGUGAGAGAGAGGGGAAGAGAGAGAGAGAGAGAGAGGGGAGAGAGAGAGAGGAGAGACUCCCCGGCUCCCUCCCUCCCUCGCACACAGCGACUGGAGACGGACGGAGAGCAACGCGCUGGGAGAGGAGAGACCACCGACAACAGACCCGCGCUCUCACACAUACACUCACACUCGACUCUUUCCUCUCCCCCCACCUCCUCCUCCUUCCACCCCCACCACUAACACCAUCUCCUCCUCCUUCUCUCUGCAACAAGAAAAAAAAAGCCAUUUACAGGGGGUGAUGUGCAACUAAUUAAAGGCAGACUGGCAGCGUCUGCAAAUUCUAAGGCUCCCCAAAUAAAAAGAGACUGUUGUAACAGUUGGAGGAUAAUGCAAAGGAAGACGCUGCCUGGGAAUUCACCGUCUGUGGAAAUGAGCCCCAGAGAGGAAUAAAGCAGCCCUCACCUUGCUCUCCCCACCCGAACCCACUUUCCCCACCCGCCUCGGCCCCCACCCCAACACCACCAUCACUCCCUUCCCUCCCCCCCACCUUUCCCCCUUUUCCACCCAGGUGUCGGACCAGGCGGUCCCCACUUCCACCCUGCACCCCUUCUUCCCCCCCUGCACCAUGAACACCAAUGUCUGCGUGGAGCCCGGGCCGAGCCCGGAGGCCCCGGGCUUGCCCAAGGAAAGCCACUUGCCCGAGGGGGCUCUGAACAGCCUUGUGGAUUACAACUCGGAAAUGGAGCGCUACCGCUCCUUUGCCACCUCCUUCUACAAGACCAACGGGGGCGCCUUCCCACAGGCGGCCAAGAUCGCGCGCAUCACCACCCCCAUCUUCCCCAGCAGCGCCGCCGCCGCCGCGGCCGCCGCGCGCAUCGGCAUGUCCCCCUGGAACUGCGACAACGCGGCCACCGCCGCCGCCGCCACCGCCAUGCUCUGGGGCAGCGGCGGGGGCGGGGGCGGCGGCGGGGGGGGUGGCGGCGGCGGCGGCGGGGGCGGGGGCGGGGGUGGUGGGGGCGGCAGGAAAUCCUCCUCCGCCGCCGCCUCCUCCUCCGCCUCCUCCUCCUCGGCGAUCCUCCCCGCCGGCGGUGGCGGCGGCGGCGGCGGCGGCGGCGGCAGCAGGACCAGCAUGCACCACCGAAACGACUCCCAGAGGCUGGGGAAAGCUGGCUGCCCGCCAGAGCCGUCGUUGCAAAUGGCAAAUACUAAUUUCCUCUCCACCUUAUCCCCUGAACACUGCAGACCUUUGGCGGGGGAAUGCAUGAACAAGCUCAAAUGCGGCGCUGCUGAAGCAGAGAUAAUGAAUCUCCCCGAGCGCGUGGGGACUUUUUCCGCUAUCCCGGCUUUAGGGGGCAUCUCAUUACCUCCAGGGGUCAUCGUCAUGACAGCCCUUCACUCCCCCGCAGCAGCCUCAGCAGCCGUCACAGACAGUGCGUUUCAAAUUGCCAAUCUGGCAGACUGCCCGCAGAAUCAUUCCUCCUCCUCCUCGUCCUCCUCAGGGGGAGCUGGCGGAGCCAACCCAGCCAAGAAGAAGAGGAAAAGGUGUGGGGUCUGCGUGCCCUGCAAGAGGCUCAUCAACUGUGGCGUCUGCAGCAGUUGCAGGAACCGCAAAACGGGACACCAGAUCUGCAAAUUUAGAAAAUGUGAAGAGCUAAAGAAAAAACCUGGCACUUCACUAGAGGCUUCUUGACCUCAAGGAUCUUAAUAUAAGGAAGAAAUAAUUUUUAAAAGAGGCUUCCCUGCUUACCUUCUCACUUCUCCUGCAAUAAACUGUCCAUAUUCUUACAUCUGGGGAUGCAUACUGGUCUCAAUGUAUGCAUAGUAAAAUCACGAUGCACAGUAAUAUCAAAGAACACCUGUUCCCAGCGCUGAAGCAUUCCGAUGGUUCUUUUAAAGCAGUAGUAUAUCUUAUUUUCAAGGCAUUUGGAAAUGAAGGGCAAACUAAUGUCUUGUUUUAAGAAACUGCUUAGUCCACCACUGAAGAAAAUAUCCAGAAAUUAUUUUCAUUUUACGUAUAGGGCUUUCUUCAAAAAAAAAAAAAAAAGAGGAAAAGAAAAGAAAAAAGACAUAAAAAUAAUGUGGGAGCUUGGAGAAUUGGCCAGUCUAUUUACUUUCAAUACGCUGAUUCUUUCUUUGAUGUAAUUUUAGCUAUAGUAGUGAAGUUGUUGUCUAUUUUGAAAGUGGCUGUAAAAAAUAAGUUUGGGUAAACCCCUGCUGUAAAAUCAUGUAUCUUUGCAAAGUACAUAUCUAUACUUCAUUUUCAAAUAUAUGUGUUUCAGUACUGUAAACUGUACAGAUAGCAGCUUGUAUUUUGUGUGUUUAGACACAAGGAGACAAUCAUGUCUGAGCAUCUAUGGAGAUUAACAGUUUGUACACAACAGUAUGGUUCUGCAAGUUAAAUCUGGAGCAAUAAAUUUUAGCUUUAACUAUUUUUUGCCAGUGGUUUAGAAGCAGCAACAGCACUGGCACCAUUUUGCCAUGCAUCUUUCCAUAGAGACUUGAUGCCAAGUUUUACAAGACUAAAAGAUUAUGAUGCAUCCACCAAUUACCUUCAGUUUUAUUGUUAUAAGAGGGGAAGAUGUUAUGAAAGUUUCAAUUAAUCUUUUGAGCACUAUAUUAGAGUAGUGGUUAUGCACUUGCAUUGCUUACAAACGAGCUGUACAGAAGGGUAUACCUCCCAAAUACUUAGUGUAGUUGACUUGUCUUGGGUUGCACUGUAAGGCGGAGUACUCAGAGUAGUUGGAAAAUGCAGAAUCAGUUGUAUAAUUUUUUUUUUAUAAAAACUGUGUUUUUUUAGGCUAAAGAAUAAAGUAUCAUAUCUUAGGAGGGGAAAAUUUAUAACUGACAUUUUUUCCCCAGCCCAACAUGGGCUGUAUACGUUUUAUUGUUUCUUAAUUUUUUUCUUAUUUUUUCUGUAGGAAAAAAUCUUAAUAAAAACUACCCCAAUGUUUUAACUUCAUGUAUGAUAUUAAAUGGGUAGUUUUAACACUUGAGUAUGUUGAGGGCUUCUGCCUUGAGGCAGGGCUUGAUAUAUUUUUAAUUUACAAAGAAUUAAACAUAUUCAUAAAAGUGAGGCAUUUUAUCUCUUUUUAUUUUCUUUUCUCAUAGCCACCCAGUUGGACUAGUGGUCUUCCCCUGGUCCUUCAGUAAAAUGCUCCAUUGCUGCCAUUUCCAUUGUUGUUACUUGAUGCUUUCAUUCCUGAGAAGGCAGGGCUACAGUCUCUGGAAUUUCAUAAAUGCAUGACAUACCCCUCCCCCCACAACCUACACACAAAGGAUCUAAUGCUUCAUAGAACCUGUGCUACCUUUUCAUGUUGGAGUUGGUUUUCUUAUCACAGUCAGAGUUCUUAAGGCCGUCCCAUCAGGACAAAUAUUUACAUUUCAUUUUAUUUUUGUUUGUCCCAAUUAUAAAGACUAUUUUCAGUUUCAGGAGUAGAACAGGGUUUAGCAAAAAUAUGUAGAGUAUCAAAGUUACCUACUGCAACUUUUUGUUCUUUGUCCACUAGCCAGGUGAUUUAACCCACUAAAUCCAUUAGCUUGCUGAAAAAUGUUAGCAAAGUAAAUCACGAGAAGAAAGAUAAUUUGAGAAGAGAAAUGGUGUGGUACAAUGAAAGAAGCUGUAAAGAUUAGGAAAGACUAGUAAGUGAAUAUUUUUAAAAAUUUAGUUGUAGAUUUCAACGGGAUACGAUAGGACAGAAAAGAUUUUUUAAAAAGCAGAAAGAGUGUUUCAUGGUGAAAGUACUGGGGGAGGGUGGACAAAGCAUGCACACAUGCCAAUUUGAAAAUCAAGUGUGACUUACCUCACGUAGAGUAUGAAUACAUGGUCCACAGUUAUGGUCAACAAGCGUUUUCAAGAAAAACUCAUUAUGUGUUACACCCAUCCAUAUUUAGAGAUGAGAAUUAAAUGAUUACAAGCUAAAAUGUGCUGUAUACUGUAUUAAUUUUGAGAUAGCUUUCUACUUGAUGUAUAUUUCUUUGAGGUUUUCUAUCUAGUUAGAAUUUCAGCUUCUGCUGUGGGACCAAUGAGAGCUGUAUGAGUUUUUUUUUUUUUUUCCUUUUCCAUUAUUUUAUUUUUUGUUUUUUUGUUUACCAAUUUGCUAAUUAAUUACAAGUAAGUGAAAACUUACUUUCACACUUGAAUGAUAAGCUUGCCUUGCUCUUUGGAAAAUGAUGAUUGUUAUUACAGAAGUGAAACAAACUUCUAUUCAGGCUACAGUAGGCAUACAAUAACAUAAAGAUCUCAUAGAAGUAUACUGAGAGUCUAAAAUACAUUCUAGUAGUGCAUGUCUUGGUGUGCUUUUGUUUGUUUGCUUUCUAAAAGAACUAAUGAAUCUGUAUAUUGUAAACUGUGGUGUUUUACAUGUCAAUUCAUUUUUUUAAUGAAAGAAAAUUUGUUGAUUACUGAAAUGAGAAAGUGUAGUUUUUCAUUAAUUCUCUUAUGUUUUUUAUUCUUGAUAUUGUUCUUUUAUACCACCCACUUUUUAAUGUUUUUGGUUAAACUCCAUUUAUAUAAUGUAGGGUGCAUAUAAAGUUCUCAUUGGUGAUGUUGAAGAAAGAGAUGACUCUUCUGGCCUUUCUCUAGUUUUCUUCCUCAUAUGUCCCUGUACUGAGAACUUGUAAAGCUUAUCAUUAUAAACCUAAGGCAGUGAUUUGAAAGUUUACAUUUUUCAUUAUUUUCAAAUACCAAUGAAAUGUAACUUUUAAAUAUUCCUCACUGUAUGUUUUAUAUUCACUGUCAAGAAAAUUCAGAAUGUAGAUUGUGUGGACAGCUAUACACAACUUAAUAAUUAUAUAUCAGAUAAACUGAAUAAAAAACUUUGUAAGAGUGGUCUACGCACACAGGAUCUUGUCCUCCCUAGGCGUGGAUAGAGAGAUGCCAUAAUCUUCCAGCAUUUGGGGAGAGCAUGGUAAAUACUUGAGGCGUUGAUACAUAGUGCAGUGAGCCAAUUUCCUUUUCAGUUGUCACUCAGCACCAUAACAUCACGAAGAACAUCAUUAAUGCAAACCUCUCACUAAGCCUUCAGACCAAAGUGGCUUUCUGAUGGACUCUGCCUGUCUGUCUACAAGUGGAGUCAGAUUCAAAGUAGAAAUGUAUCCAUCCUUGGGAAAGAAAAUAGGAAGUCUUCCCCCACUGUAGGAGUAUAUAAAAAUGUCUCCUGGUUGCUUAAUUCCCAACACUCAAUUUCCUUCUUCUAAACACAUUUAUAAGGAGCGAGAGAUGGUGCACUUAUUAUGAAUUAAUAUUAAGCAAUCACUAAAAGAAAGGAAUAUUCUCUUCCUUUCAAUCAGAAACCCUGAUAUGUAAGUUGUGCAAUUAAUGCUAAAGCAUAUAAAGUCUUUAAGCUGAUAAGUAUCUGUAAUCAAAUAAUGAAAAAAGGAAAGCAGUUAAAUGAACACACUAUUCAGGGUCAAAUAUGUUCAGCAAAAAGCCGUAGCGGGUCUUUGAUCAUGGUUAGAUUCACAGUGAUAUCAAACAGUUGGUUCUCAUGUAACAGCUAAAUGUUUCAGUUUUUUUUUAUUAUUAAAUUUGGCAUUUCACACUGAGAUCUGUAUUCCUAGUGAAUAAAAGACAGCUACUAUAUUAGGAGGGAUUCCAUUUUCACAAUUGCAAAACAGAUAUUUCAGGAACAUGGGCCACAAAAUGUACUCCUUUCACAGUGUUCUCCUCUUCUGAACUGUGCAGUUAUCUAUUAAAUUUUCUAAUAGAUAUUUGUGUAAGGUGUAUGUAUGCUUGUGCAAUUAUUUAAAAAACGGUUUUGGAAAACAGUGUAUUUAUUAAAGAAAAUUACUUAUGGGGCAUGUACAAAACUGUAAAAAAAAAAAAAAGUAAAAAAAAUCACAUUCAAUUUGCCCAGUAAAGUUGUUUUUGUGAAAUUUCUGUGUUGUUGAAUAAAGGACUUUAGUAUUCAAAAUA
Molecule: RNA transcript, 5973 nt
Organism: Pan troglodytes (chimpanzee)
Lineage: Eukaryota; Metazoa; Chordata; Mammalia; Primates; Hominidae
Gene: CXXC4
Gene name: CXXC finger protein 4
Exons: 5
Source: RefSeq, a predicted model, not a curated record